AGCUUUGUGCAGUGGCAGUAUCGUAGCCAAUGAGGUUUAUCCGAGGAGUGAUUAUUGCUAAUUGAAAAUACAUAGGUAAACCAG
This is a small nuclear RNA of Heterocephalus glaber (naked mole-rat), 84 nucleotides long. Its record names the gene U4. It matches the Rfam family "U4 spliceosomal RNA". From Rfam's summary of the family: U4 small nuclear RNA (U4 snRNA) is a component of the major U2-dependent spliceosome. The structure of U4 snRNA from yeast and human has been reported. U4 snRNA presents a k-turn RNA motif in the 5p-SL related to recognition of Snu13 protein. The record is from Ensembl. Lineage: Eukaryota; Metazoa; Chordata; Mammalia; Rodentia; Bathyergidae.